Molecule: ribosomal RNA, 252 nt
Filed under: uncultured bacterium
Lineage: Bacteria
Description: partial 16S ribosomal RNA
Rfam family: Bacterial small subunit ribosomal RNA
Source: RNAcentral
UACGUAGGUCCCGAGCGUUGUCCGGAUUUAUUGGGCGUAAAGCGAGCGCAGGUGGUUUAUUAAGUCUGGUGUAAAAGGCAGUGGCUCAACCAUUGUAUGCAUUGGAAACUGGUAGACUUGAGUGCAGGAGAGGAGAGUGGAAUUCCAUGUGUAGCGGUGAAAUGCGUAGAUAUAUGGAGGAACACCGGUGGCGAAAGCGGCUCUCUGGCCUGUAACUGACGCUGAGGCACGAAAGCGUGGGGAGCAAAUAGG